Daphnia pulex (common water flea) is the source of this 2918-nucleotide RNA transcript. RefSeq lists it as uncharacterized. The record is from RefSeq and is a predicted model, not a curated record. NCBI's taxonomy places the organism in Eukaryota, Metazoa, Arthropoda, Branchiopoda, Diplostraca, Daphniidae. The transcript is spliced from 8 exons.
CUGGUUCAACUUGUGCGAAUUUCGUAUAGUUGCAAGUGAUUAUUGAAUUGGUUUUGUUCAACCUUAUUUUCUGUUUCUUUUGCUGGUGUUUGGUUUUUCCGACUGUGAAAGAACAACUUUCAAAUUUUACAAGUCAUUAUUAUUAUCAUAGCAUAGAUUUAUCUAUUAUCGGGGUAUCGAGACAGAGGGACAUUUUGUCUCCAUAGUCCAUACCCAAAAGAAAACUCAUGUACUCUGGGAUGAGUUUAUGAUCCACCUUGUGUUCAAAUAAUCAAAUUCAUCAUGCAACCUUGAACCCUCCCCCUCAAUUUUAGAGCUUCAAAAUAUUCAAAAUGGCCGCCGCCUGGCGUAUUGGUGAUAGUGGGUAGUGUUGUGACAACGAUCCCGAUGAUAAUUCUUAUUCUCAGGGAUUCGAUAAUAUCUUCAGCUGAAGGCUUCAUGUGAUCUGCGUGCUUGUGACAGCGAUAAAAUGGUCCAAUUCAAGCUGUCUUCCAAAACCAUGGAAAUUCUGUUUGCAAGAACGCCAAUAUGUUCCAUCGGGAUAUUCGGCCACAUCUUCAACAAUCACAGGCUAUUCAAAAUAUCUAUGCAUCACCUAUUUAUGUGCCAGUUCCCGUUUCACUGCCUUCACAAAUCAAUCAACCGCAGCCAGUGGAACGUUAGGAUUCAAAAGAAAGAGUUUCUCAGUUGGAAGAUCUAUAGUGGAUGCUGGAACUACAGAAGAAGAUUCAGGAAUUGGAGUUUAGUUGGCAGGAAGCCAAAGCCAAACAGGCUGUUCCUCCCAGUGGAAUUAAGAGCCAGCAGAGCGUCAACGACAAAGCGAUAUCUGCAGCUAUUUUUCACUGGAGCAAGAAACCAAAUUUUGUGUGUUCCUGAAAAGAAUCCUUCUACCUCAUCUUGUGUCUCUUCUAAAAUUCUGAAUGAAAUCGAUCUUCUGCAAGUCCGAUUGAGCAAUGUGAUCGCCUCAACCGGAGCUGUUGUUGUCAACCGUCGUCGCAUUGGAAAGAUAACCGACAACUAUCAUGAGCCGAUUGGGCGUGGAAAAUUCGGUCAAGUCUUCAAAGGAACUUGGCAUGGAUGUCAAGUAGCCGUCAAAGAAAUCCGCUCUCCUUGGCGUUGCAGCACAGUCGUCGAGGCUCGAUCGUUCGCCAAGAUGAUUCAACGAGAGAUUGAAGCCCUUUCAGCUGUCCAGCACCGCAAUAUUAUUGGACUGCUCGGUCUUUGCAUGGAUAACGAAUCGAGUGAUGGUGAAGCAUCGAUUAGAGUCUCGCUCAUCUUUGAAUUCACCAACGGAGGGACUCUUUUCGACUGACUUUUCGGCGGCCUAGCAAAAAAUAGCAAAUUCAAAUUAGACGUGAAUCAAAUGAUGCUGACCGCUCGCCAUCUCACCGCGAGACUCUCCAUCUACUGCAUUCCACUCAGCAGAAGCCGGGCGGUUCAGUUAUGGUCCACCGUGACGUGAAAUCCGCCAAUGUUUUACUGCAACGGGAUGACGAAGGAAGAGUCGUGCGAGCUGUUUUGGACGAUUUAACGUCUUCAUUUGGAUCUUAACGAAAGUGGCUCCCGCUCUGGCCUAGCAGCCAGUUUCAUGACAGCCGUGGUAGGUACCCACGGCUAUGUCGAUCCUUUGUGUGCGGAGCGUUUAACCUGCAGACGGGUCGGCCAGUUUGCAUGUCCUUCAGGCUUGAAGGUCGCGGGGAAUAUUACGUUAAACUGUUAAUGCGGUGGUGUAGAGGUUGGGUGAGAAUUGGACGUGUUGCAUCAUUAUCAAGCAGACCCAUCCCCAGCAACGUCAACCUAAAGAAGGAAAGGCAAGUUUCCAUUUUCUUCAAUUUCGAAGGUCACGGAGAUACCAUUACGUUAAACUUGUCAUGUGGAGUAGAGGUUGGGUGAGAACGGGAAGUGUUGCACCAUUAUCAAGCAGGAGAAAAAAGGCCAUAGAAAUCAGUCGAGUGAUCAUCUCCGACACUGCAAUAGCAACUGCAGUGCACUAUUGAUCAUCAAUUGAUUCUUCACUGUGUAAUAAGUUCGUAAUCAUGGUUAAUUAUGGCGUUGUGCUGCUGUUGGGUCGACCACGAGUGUACCGAUGUCUCCUGGAUACGGUGGCCCCGAGUUACUUCACCAAAGCGCCUGAGUACUACACUGAGGCUCCCAAGUACUACACCAUCAAAGCUCCAGAGUAUUACACUGCAAUCUACGCUGCCCAAGCUUACACCACCAAGGGACCGGAGUACUGCACCACAACCUACGCUGCCCCAGUUCACUACGCCGCCCUGAGCUACACAACCACAUAUGAGGCAGUCGUUAUUACUGCACAGCGGCUGCUUCUUAGUAACAACCUACGUUACACCUAGAUGCUACACCGAAGCCCCCAAGUACUGCACCGGCAAGGCCGAAUAUUACAUAACCACGUUUGCUGCCCCAGCUACCCUGCUACACCGAGAAACCCAAGUAUUUCUCUGCUCCAAGCAACUAUCGAACAGAGGCUCCUGUUGACUACACCACCCAUGCCCCGGGGUUUUACAGUACAACCUACGCUGCCCCAUCUACACCAUCAAGGCUCCAAAGUACUACGCAACCGAGGCACCCGAGCUACUACUUAGGCUGCUCCGACUUUCUGCACCGAAGCUGCGAAAUAUUCCACUGCCCCGAGUUACUACACCAUCAAGGCUGUUAUAAUGUUACAUCACAACCUACGCUUCUCCAGUUUACUACAUAAUGGUGAAGCCAGAAAUGGAAACAGGACGUAUGCUACACCAGUUUACUACACCGUGGAAUUCAAGUAUUACCCGAACAAAUACCAAACAGAGGCUCCUGUUUACUACACUACCAUCGCCCUCGAGUGUUACACUAAAACCUACGUUGCCCCCAACUACUACACUGUGGCUCCGAAGUGCUACACAUCAAUGCACAACCAA